Non-coding RNA from Equus caballus (horse), 2195 nucleotides. The record is from RefSeq and is a predicted model, not a curated record. Lineage: Eukaryota; Metazoa; Chordata; Mammalia; Perissodactyla; Equidae.
GGGGUCCGCCGGCGUCGCGCGGGCCUGCGGGGAGGCAGCUUUUGUUUCCCGAGGGAGAUGGUUCUGGGCGCCGCGGCCUCCGCGUCCCACCUCUGCGGGAGCCGAGCGGCGGCUGCCGAGCCCCAGGACCCCCUAACACGGAAUUUUCCUCAGAAGUGUGUGGACAGCGGCCUUGGCCGCCUCCCUGCCCGGGCCAAAGGCGGCGUCGCGCCUCGCGCGAAAUUUCCCGUCGUUUUCAGCCCGGGGAGGGUUUUGGCGUGGCCGCCGCCGCGUGGGUGGGCCCAGGAUGCCGGGAGAAGGCGGCGGUGGAGGCUCUGCUGCCCUGCAGGCUCGCGCCCACCAGGACGCCCGCGGGCCUAGGCCGGGGAGGGACAGUGAGGGACAGAGUGGGGCAUCGAGGGACAGUGUGGAACAGCAUGGGACCGAGUGGGACGGCGCGAGACAGUGAGGGACAGCAAGGCCAUGUUGAUGUGUUCUUCUAUUCUGGAUGAAAGAAGAAUGAGAAAAGUGAUGUGGUGACGACAAGCCUACACUCUGCGUGUUUCCACUGAGGAGCCUAUACAACCUUGAGCCAAAGAAGGGGAUCUGGCACAGUGCAGUUUCAGACACCAGCAGUUCUUGGAGAGAGACGCUGCUGGCAGGGAGCAUCUUCCCAGCAUCUCUGAAGGGAAGGUAGCAAGUGACCAGAAGUCUGUGAGCAUUUACUUGUGAGCCCAUACUCAUAAACAUCCACAGGCAUGUUUCCUUAAAAAAAUAGACUUAGUUUGUCCAUAAACUUAAAGUCCCUACAGAACUUUUAAAUCUGAACAGCUACACGUUUUCUCUGGAAUGCAAAGACAAUGGGGUAUCCUCAGUGACUGGGUCCAGUAGCAUUGUAAGAACUGAGUGAACACCAACUCUUCUUGGAAUUUCUAACUUUAUUCAUUUAUUCAUUCAUCCAUCAAUAAGUAUCUAUUGAACUCCUACUAUGUGCCAGUCCAUACUAGGUACCCAAUAGUGAGCAAGAGAGAUGCAAACACUCCCCUCAGAGAACUGUCAGUUGUGGGGGUUAUGGACAAGCACACAGGAUGUUGUGAUGAAAUGCUGUGAUGGGGGCCAGCAGGGUGCUAUGGAAAUAAUAAGAGAGGCACCAGCCCAGAUGAAGGGAGGUCUACGCUGAGAACUGAAGGAUGCUUCAGCAGUGAGAUAAAGGGGGAAGAAUGUUCUUGGCAGGGCAAACAGCAAAUAUUCAGAAUGUGACGUUUGAGGAGGUCAAGUUCACUGUCAAUGACAAGAAGGUAAGAGAUGAGGUUGGAGAGGUUAAGGAGGGGCUGGGUUUUACUUGACUGUACAAGCCAUGUUAAGAAGUUCAGACUGUGCUAAAAUUGGGGAGCCACUGCAGAGGUUUAAAGUGGACAGUGAAAUGUUUAAAUUUGCAUGUUAGAAAGGUUACUCUUGUUGCCAUAGGCACUGUGUGACCAAAAGAGUUAUAAUUUGGGGCUGGGAGUGCUAGGUUAUCUUCUGAGUUCUGACAUCGUUUCUGGCUAGGGCAUCAGUUCUUCUAACUCUGGGACAUGAAGACCUGUACCUAUCCUUGGCAGUAAUUAUGGCUCAGACAGGAGACAAGAAGGCAGGCAGAGAGAGAGAGACAAAUGCAGAGUUUUGGUCAGCUCCUUGGUCUUCACCCACUCAGGGAUAAAUUCUACCACGUAAAGGAAAUGCUGAAUCAAAGGGACUGAACAUCUUUAAAAACUUUUUCAAUUGCCAAAGUGCAACCAGAUUAUUGGACCACUUGGGACAUCCACCAGCAGUACAGUGCCCAUUUGAUGACACACUCUCCAACUUCAGAUUUUUUGAAGCUCAUCCAAGACAUUGUAUAACAUUCGGUCAUCGUGUCUCCUUAGGCUUCCCUUGACUGUGACAGUUUCUCAGACUUCCUGUUUGUGAUGAUCUUCACAGUUUUGAGGUGCCUGGUCUGGUAUUUUGUCGAAUGUCCCUCAUUGGGAUUUAUGUAAUAUUUUUCUCAUGAUGUUAUUGGUUUUGGGGAGGAAGACCAUAGAGGUAAAGUGUCAUUUUCAUCACAUCAUAUCAAGGAUACAUGCUGUUACCAUGAUUUGUCACUGUUGAUGUUGACCCUGACCUGAGGAAUACAGAGCCUUUUUUUUUUUUUUUUGAGGAAGAUUAACCCUGAGCUAACUGCUGCCAAUCGUCCUCUU